AAUAGAUACCCUGGUAGUCCACGCCGUAAACGAUGAGUGCUAAGUGUUAGGGGUUUCCGCCCCUUAGUGCUGCAGCUAACGCAUUAAGCACUCCGCCUGGGGAGUACGGUCGCAAGACUGAAACUCAAAGGAAUUGACGGGGGCCCGCACAAGCGGUGGAGCAUGUGGUUUAAUUCGAAGCAACGCGAAGAACCUUACCAGGUCUUGACAUCCCACUGACCGCUAUGGAGACAUAGUUUUCCCUUCGGGGACAGUGGUGACAGGUGGUGCAUGGUUGUCGUCAGCUCGUGUCGUGAGAUGUUGGGUUAAGUCCCGCAACGAGCGCAACCCUUGAUCUUAGUUGCCAUCAUUUAGUUGGGCACUCUAAGGUGACUGCCGGUGACAAACCGGAGGAAGGUGGGGAGUGACGUCAAAUCAUCAUGCCCUUAUGACCUGGGCUACACACGUGCUACAAUGGACGGUAACGAAACGGUUGCCAACCCGCGGAGGGGGAGGCUAAUCCGAAUAAAACCGUUACUCAGUUCGGAUUGUAGGCUGCAACUCGCCUACA
Molecule: ribosomal RNA, 550 nt
Filed under: uncultured bacterium
Lineage: Bacteria
Description: bacterial SSU rRNA
Rfam family: Bacterial small subunit ribosomal RNA
Source: RNAcentral